GGUUAGCUCAGUUGGUAGAGUGCCGGACUGCAGUGCGGGAGAUCGCGGGUUCUAUUCCAGGCCGGACCA
Non-coding RNA from Desmophyllum pertusum, 69 nucleotides. The record is from the annotation of a GenBank genome assembly. NCBI's taxonomy places the organism in Eukaryota, Metazoa, Cnidaria, Anthozoa, Scleractinia, Caryophylliidae.